AUGCUGGAGGUAUCAGAAGUGCGAAUGCUGACAUAAGUAACGAUAAAGCGGGUGAAAAGCCCGCUCGCCGGAAGACCAAGGGUUCCUGUCCAACGUUAAUCGGGGCAGGGUGAGUCGACCCCUAAGGCGAGGCCGAAAGGCGUAGUCGAUGGGAAACAGGUUAAUAUUCCUGUACUUGGUGUUACUGCGAAGGGGGGACGGAGAAGGCUAUGUUGGCCGGGCGACGGUUGUCCCGGUUUAAGCGUGUAGGCUGGUUUUCCAGGCAAAUCCGGAAAAUCAAGGCUGAGGCGUGAUGACGAGGCACUACGGUGCUGAAGCAACAAAUGCCCUGCUUCCAGGAAAAGCCUCUAAGCAUCAGGUAACAUCAAAUCGUACCCCAAACCGACACAGGUGGUCAGGUAGAGAAUACCAAGGCGCUUGAGAGAACUCGGGUGAAGGAACUAGGCAAAAUGGUGCCGUAACUUCGGGAGAAGGCACGCUGAUAUGUAGGUGAAGCGACUUGCUCGUGGAGCUGAAAUCAGUCGAAGAUACCAGCUGGCUGCAACUGUUUAUUAAAAACACAGCACUGUGCAAACACGAAAGUGGACGUAUACGGUGUGACGCCUGCCCGGUGCCGGAAGGUUAAUUGAUGGGGUUAGCGCAAGCGAAGCUCUUGAUCGAAGCCCCGGUAAACGGCGGCCGUAACUAUAACGGUCCUAAGGUAGCGAAAUUCCUUGUCGGGUAAGUUCCGACCUGCACGAAUGGCGUAAUGAUGGCCAGGCUGUCUCCACCCGAGACUCAGUGAAAUUGAACUCGCUGUGAAGAUGCAGUGUACCCGCGGCAAGACGGAAAGACCCCGUGAACCUUUACUAUAGCUUGACACUGAACAUUGAGCCUUGAUGUGUAGGAUAGGUGGGAGGCUUUGAAGUGUGGACGCCAGUCUGCAUGGAGCCGACCUUGAAAUACCACCCUUUAAUGUUUGAUGUUCUAACGUUGACCCGUGAUCCGGGUUGCGGACAGUGUCUGGUGGGUAGUUUGACUGGGGCGGUCUCCUCCUAAAGAGUAACGGAGGAGCACGAAGGUUGGCUAAUCCUGGUCGGACAUCAGGAGGUUAGUGCAAUGGCAUAAGCCAGCUUGACUGCGAGCGUGACGGCGCGAGCAGGUGCGAAAGCAGGUCAUAGUGAUCCGGUGGUUCUGAAUGGAAGGGCCAUCGCUCAACGGAUAAAAGGUACUCCGGGGAUAACAGGCUGAUACCGCCCAAGAGUUCAUAUCGACGGCGGUGUUUGGCACCUCGAUGUCGGCUCAUCACAUCCUGGGGCUGAAGUAGGUCCCAAGGGUAUGGCUGUUCGCCAUUUAAAGUGGUACGCGAGCUGGGUUUAGAACGUCGUGAGACAGUUCGGUCCCUAUCUGCCGUGGGCGCUGGAGAACUGAGGGGGGCUGCUCCUAGUACGAGAGGACCGGAGUGGACGCAUCACUGGUGUUCGGGUUGUCAUGCCAAUGGCACUGCCCGGUAGCUAAAUGCGGAAGAGAUAAGUGCUGAAAGCAUCUAAGCACGAAACUUGCCCCGAGAUGAGUUCUCCCUGACUCCUUGA
RNAcentral lists this ribosomal RNA (1571 nucleotides) under Escherichia coli. RNAcentral describes it as "bacterial LSU rRNA". It matches the Rfam family "Bacterial large subunit ribosomal RNA", at positions 1270 to 2826 of the family's 2925-position model. Lineage: Bacteria; Pseudomonadati; Pseudomonadota; Gammaproteobacteria; Enterobacterales; Enterobacteriaceae. The record is from RNAcentral.